RNAcentral lists this ribosomal RNA (639 nucleotides) under uncultured bacterium. RNAcentral's name for it is "bacterial SSU rRNA". It matches the Rfam family "Bacterial small subunit ribosomal RNA", at positions 63 to 694 of the family's 1533-position model. The record is from RNAcentral.
CGAGGGGCAGCGGGGUAGUGCUUGCACUACUGCCGGCGACCGGCGCACGGGUGAGUAACACGUAUGGAACCUGCCCGCAGCAGGGGGAUAAGCGGAAGAAAUUCCGUCUAAUACCGCGUAAGAACGUUGGGAGGCAUCUCCCGAUGUUUAAAGAUUUAUCGGCUGCGGAUGGCCAUGCGGCGCAUUAGCUAGUCGGCGGGGUAACGGCCCACCGAGGCGACGAUGCGUAGGGGUUCUGAGAGGAAGGUCCCCCACACUGGUACUGAGACACGGACCAGACUCCUACGGGAGGCAGCAGUGAGGAAUAUUGGUCAAUGGCCGAGAGGCUGAACCAGCCAAGUCGCGUGAGGGAAGACGGCCCUACGGGUUGUAAACCUCUUUUGUCGGGGAGCAAAGCGAACCACGUGUGGUUCAUUGAGAGUACCCGAAGAAAAAGCAUCGGCUAACUCCGUGCCAGCAGCCGCGGUAAUACGGAGGAUGCGAGCGUUAUCCGGAUUUAUUGGGUUUAAAGGGUGCGCAGGCGGAGGUGCAAGUCAGCGGUCAAAUUGCGGGGCUCAACCCCGUACUGCCGUUGAAACUGCAUCCCUUGAGUGCGCCAGAAGUAUGCGGAAUGCGUGGUGUAGCGGUGAAAUGCAUAGA